UUGAAGAAUUUGAAGACUUGAACUUGCAGACUUGAAGAAUUUGAAGACUUCAACUUGCAAACUUGACAAAUUUGAAGACUUUAACU
Molecule: non-coding RNA, 86 nt
Organism: Solanum tuberosum (potato)
Lineage: Eukaryota; Viridiplantae; Streptophyta; Magnoliopsida; Solanales; Solanaceae
Source: Rfam